This 393-nucleotide ribosomal RNA is filed under the name uncultured bacterium. RNAcentral's name for it is "partial 16S ribosomal RNA". It matches the Rfam family "Bacterial small subunit ribosomal RNA", at positions 523 to 918 of the family's 1533-position model. The record is from RNAcentral.
AUACGGAGGAUCCGAGCGUUAUCCGGAUUUAUUGGGUUUAAAGGGUGCGUAGGCGGCCUUUUAAGUCAGCGGUGAAAGUCUGUGGCUCAACCAUAGAAUUGCCGUUGAAACUGGGGGGCUUGAGUAUGUUUGAGGCAGGCGGAAUGCGUGGGGGAGCGGGGAAAUGCAUAGAUAUCACGCAGAACCCCGAUUGCGAAGGCAGCCUGCCAAGCCAUGACUGACGCUGAUGCACGAAAGCGUGGGGAUCAAACAGGAUUAGAUACCCUGGUAGUCCACGCAGUAAACGAUGAUCACUAGCUGUUUGCGAUACACUGUAAGCGGCACAGCGAAAGCGUUAAGUGAUCCACCUGGGGAGUACGCCGGCAACGGUGAAACUCAAAGGAAUUGACGGGG